UAGGGAAUUUUCGUCAAUGGGCGCAAGCCUGAACGAGCAAUGCCGCGUGAACGAGGAAGGUCUUCGGAUCGUAAAGUUCUGUUGAAGGGGAAAAAGAGCGGAGAGAGGAAAUGGUCUCCGAUUGAUAUUACCCUUCGAGGAGGUCACGGCUAACUACGUGCC
RNAcentral lists this ribosomal RNA (162 nucleotides) under uncultured bacterium. RNAcentral's name for it is "partial 16S ribosomal RNA". It matches the Rfam family "Bacterial small subunit ribosomal RNA", at positions 355 to 509 of the family's 1533-position model. The record is from RNAcentral.